UGCGUAGGCGGAAUAUUAAGUCAGUGGUGAAAUCCUGCGGCUCAACCGUAGAACUGCCAUUGAUACUGAUGUUCUUGAAUGUAGUUGAGGUAGGCGGAAUGUGUAAUGUAGCGGUGAAAUGCUUAGAUAUUACACAGAACACCGAUUGCGAAGGCAGCUUACUAAACUAUGAUUGACGCUGAGGCACGAAAGCGUGGGGAGCGAACAGGAUUAGAUACCCUGGUAGUC
RNAcentral lists this ribosomal RNA (228 nucleotides) under uncultured bacterium. RNAcentral describes it as "partial 16S ribosomal RNA". It matches the Rfam family "Bacterial small subunit ribosomal RNA", at positions 568 to 795 of the family's 1533-position model. The record is from RNAcentral.